UACAGAGGGUGCGAGCGUUGUCCGGAAUCACUGGGCGUAAAGGGCGCGUAGGCGGCGGGCCAAGCGUGCGGUGAAAGCCCGGGGCUCAACUCCGGGUCGGCCGUGCGAACUGGCGUGCUGGAGCACUGUAGAGGCAGGUGGAAUUCCGGGUGUAGCGGUGGAAUGCGUAGAGAUCCGGAAGAACACCGGUGGCGAAGGCGGCCUGCUGGGCAGUAGCUGACGCUGAUGCGCGACAGCGUGGGGAGCAAACAGG
This 253-nucleotide ribosomal RNA is filed under the name uncultured prokaryote. RNAcentral's name for it is "partial 16S ribosomal RNA". It matches the Rfam family "Bacterial small subunit ribosomal RNA", at positions 524 to 776 of the family's 1533-position model. RNAcentral also lists the same sequence under 1 other name. The record is from RNAcentral.